GGACCGUUGUGUAUCUAUUAUCUAUGGACAUGACGAUCAUGGCUACCAAAUAUAUUGUUUAUGUGAACAAUGCUCUGACAAUGGCCUGUUAUUAUCUUGGAUUUCAAAAUGAUGCCUACAGUAUAUCAGGCAAUUAUUUUGAGGCCUCUUCCUAUCAAUGUUUAUUAUAGGUGUAGGGGUUGGAGUGAACUGUAGAGGUAGAAACGAUUGUAUAGUCCAAAUAGAGCUGUGACCAGCAUGGACACAAACAAAUUGAAUCAAAAGGUAGGAUUGUUUGAAUUUGAUGAAUGAAUUGUUUUUGCAAUCAAAUAAUUGGACUGAUUUUCAGCUGUAUAUGGCAUUUACUUGGUUUUUGUUUAUUUACAAGUGUUUUUAAUGUCCUUUUCUUAGUAUACAUUCACAUUUUAUUUAUUGUGUUGAAUUGAAUAUUACUUUUUUAUACAAAAAAAAAUUAUGUAAACCUUACCCAGUGAUGGUGUAAAUAUCUGUAAUUAUUGGAGAAAUACCUGUGAGUUGAUAAAGGUCUGUAGUGAAUGUUAAUAAAUCGAUUAAAAAGGACAUAUUACAACCUGUCAACUAUUGUAUACCCAGAGCCUAACUUAAUUAUAUAUUUAAAUAGUGUUUUGAUUGUUUAACAGGAAUAUUACACGAACAUUGGACAUGAUAUGCAAUUGAUUUGUGAUUGUAGCAGUCCACAUUUGAUCCCAGUAUGGAGCAGUAUCCUUUUAUUCGCUGGAAGCAGAAACAAUAAGGAAACAUAAUAACUCUGACUACAAUGUUCAGUUGGGUGUUGAUCCUAUAGUCCCCAUUUUACUACAGAAUGGAUCAAGGUCCGCUGGAAGAAACAAAAGCAAUAAGGGGUCAUUUUGAAAACUUUGGAUGCCAUGGGUUACAGAGUAUUGGUUGUAUUAACCGUCCUUUACUCAAGGAAAUAGCAGUAUCUAAAGUCCUAAAGGGAAGUGCCUUUUUUCCAUUGGAAACAGAGGAAACAUUAAAAGAAGGAUUUAUAAUAACAAAUGGAUUGACGAUAAAUUAAGAGUGGAAGAAUGUUCAUUUUGAUGCAACUGAAAAGCAAAUUUUUUCAUCUUGGAGGAUCUUGUGGUUAAUUUAGGCGAGCAUACGUAGAACAUUCACUCCAGAAGAUAGCUGUACCUAUGGUCUCAAAGAAAGUAUGAUAGUGCCUUUGUUUCAUUUGGAACGGAGACGGUGUGGAAUUGCCAAAGGAAGGAUUUAUAAGAAUGAAUUAACUAAUUAUCCAACAAAAGAGAAGGAAUUGCAGUUAAUUUUGAUGCUUUUGAUGUCAUCACUUUGCAACAUUAUGGAUUUAAUUUUGAACUUUCGAAGACAAGGCAACUGGAAAUUAGUUUAGAAAGGACUGAAACAACAGGUUGUCUGCAGUGGUUUUCCUGUUGGAUUUGGCUUGCCCAUUACACUUGGAGACUUUAAAAUACUACUUCCUGCAGUUAAAGAUUAUCGAACAAAUGAGUUCAGUUUGGCUGUACUGAAACGGCCAAUGUCUACAUGGGUGUUUUCUCUUCUGGUCUUGGUUUUGAUUUGCUAUUUGUAUCUUCACCUCGCAACCUAUGCAGUUAACUGGAGACUUAUUUGAACAGCAGACUUUCUGCCGUGGUAUUCUGGAUUUGGUUUGCUUUUUACACCUGCAAACAUUGAGAGGUAGCAGUCUACAGUUAAUUAAGGUG
Agrilus planipennis (emerald ash borer) is the source of this 1700-nucleotide long non-coding RNA. RefSeq lists it as uncharacterized. NCBI's taxonomy places the organism in Eukaryota, Metazoa, Arthropoda, Insecta, Coleoptera, Buprestidae. The record is from RefSeq and is a predicted model, not a curated record. The transcript has 8 exons.